This 466-nucleotide ribosomal RNA is filed under the name uncultured bacterium. RNAcentral describes it as "partial 16S ribosomal RNA". It matches the Rfam family "Bacterial small subunit ribosomal RNA", at positions 28 to 507 of the family's 1533-position model. The record is from RNAcentral.
GAUGAACGCUGGCGGCGUGCUUAACACAUGCAAGUCGAACGGAAAGGCUCCUGCUUGCAGGGGUACUCGAGUGGCGAACGGGUGCGUAACACGUGGGUGAUCUGCCCUGCACUUCGGGAUAAGCCUGGGAAACUGGGUCUCAUACCGGAUAGGACGAUGGUUUGGAUGCCGGUUUGGAAAGUUUUUUCGGUGUGGGAUGAGCUCGCGGCCUAUCAGCUUGUUGGUGGGGUAGUGGCCUACCAAGGCGUCGACGGGUAGCCGGCCUGAGAGGGUGUACGGCGACAUUGGGACUGAGAGACGGCCCAGACUCCUACGGGAGGCAGCAGUGGGGAAUAUUGCACAAUGGGCGCAAGCCUGAUGCAGCGCCGCCGCGUGGGGGAUGACGGCCUUCGGGUUGUAAACUCCUUUCGCUAGGGACGAAGCGCAAGUGACGGUACCUGGAGAAGAAGCACCGGCUAACUACGUG